ACACAUUUUACAUAAAACAAUUACAUAGGUAGUACGGUAGUCGGAUAGAUCGGAGAUAGAUUGGAGGUGGAUGGAUAGUAGUUUACAUAGUCAUAGUGUACAUAAAAAUCACAAAAACAUAAAAUAGAGAAACAGAAAAAUCAAACAUUAAAGUAAAGAGUGUAUAUACAUGCAAUAGGAAGGGAGGAAUCAGGGCACACGGUUGCCACACAGAAGUAUUAUAGAACACAUAGAUGGGACGCAUGUAUUGAAAACAAGUGAGAAUCAACGAGGAGAAUGCGAGAGAGUAGGCUCUGGACACGACAAGCAAGAGAGUACCUUCGGAAGUAAAUCUGAAGAAUAUAAAUAUGAGAGCUACGGGAGAAUCAACAGGAAUCAUAAUGAGAGCGUACGUUUUCGUCGUUGGUUGAACGGGUUGUACUGGCGUUUCUUAUAGGAAAUUCAUCCUCCAGGUGUUCUAUAAUCUUUGGAUAUUAUCUAUCUCAUCAUUUUCAUAUGGCAACCGUGAUUAAAAGAGUGCAUCCCAACUGGUGGAAUCUGGUAUCCACCAAUUGGCUUGCCCUCCCUUCGAAGGGGACAUCGUA
Molecule: small RNA, 584 nt
Filed under: Drosophila pseudoobscura pseudoobscura
Lineage: Eukaryota; Metazoa; Arthropoda; Insecta; Diptera; Drosophilidae
Description: GA32020
Source: RNAcentral